RNAcentral lists this ribosomal RNA (163 nucleotides) under uncultured Streptococcus sp. RNAcentral's name for it is "partial 16S ribosomal RNA". It matches the Rfam family "Bacterial small subunit ribosomal RNA", at positions 1220 to 1382 of the family's 1533-position model. Lineage: Bacteria; Bacillati; Bacillota; Bacilli; Lactobacillales; Streptococcaceae. The record is from RNAcentral.
ACGUGCUACAAUAGUUGGUACAACGAGUUGCGAGUCGGUGACGGCGAGCUAAUCUCUUAAAGCCAAUCUCAGUUCGGAUUGUAGGCUGCAACUCGCCUACAUGAAGUCGGAAUCGCUAGUAAUCGCGGAUCAGCACGCCGCGGUGAAUACGUUCCCGGGCCUU